GCCCCGGCGGGGGCGCGCGGGGCCCAGUAGCCGGCAGGAAGCGGCCCCGCCCUUCGCGUGCGGCCUUGGGGCCGGGGCGGGAGCCUGGCUGCGCGCUCGCACUUGACCUGCAUCCGGGUUUUCUUGUUCCGCGCAGGUUGGGACCUGGGACCUGGGACCCUUUGCUGCAGUAUUUGCACCUGGACAAAUAUCUCCUCGACCAGCAGAAUACAAGAAACUAUAAGGAACUAAAAAUAACUGCCCACAUGUGCAGUUGGGGCAAAAUAUGAACAAUGAGGUACAAAAAGGCCAAAACCCAACUGCCACUUCUGAGGUGCCAGGAGCAAAAGCAGAGUACUACACAUGAUCCCUACAAGGGGGUGGGCAGACCACCUAAGCCGCCCUUCUGGCCUACCCACUGAUCCACCCCACCCUCACCCCAUUUAAGGGACCAGCUUGUCACCCCCUCAGGGAGUGAGCAAGGACACCAGUUACAUGUUUUUGCUCCCUUGUGCUGCAGCGAUAAAGCCUUGCCUGAAUUCCUUGUUUGGCCUCGUCAAUUUCUAUUGAUUAAAGAGUCCAGGGCUUCCCUGGUGGCGCAGUGGUUGAGAAUCUGCCUGCCAAUGCAGGGGACACGGGUUCGAGCCCUGGUCUGGGAAGAUCCCACAUGCCGCAGAGCAGCUGGGCCCGUGAGCCACAACUACUGAGCCUGCGCGUCUGGAGCCUGUGCUCCGCAACAAGAGAGGCCGCGAUAGUGAGAGCCCCGCGCACCGCGAUGAAGAGUGGCCCCCGCUCGCUGCAACUAGAGAAAGCCCUCGCACAGAAACGAAGACCCAACACAGCCAAAAAUAAUAAAUUAAUUAAUUAAAUAAAUAAAAAAGAGUUAAAAAAAAAAAAAGAGUCCAAAAACCCAGAUCGGUAAAAGGAGCUUGCUGUCGUUCAUGAGAUGAGGCCCAGAUUGAUCUGGAUUCAGAGCAGCUUUCACACUGAGGACCCAUCAGUUUGCUACUAUGAGUCCACAUAAGUGGGCACCACGUGGGGGUCCUGGGAAAGCCUCUAGAGAGCCAGAGCCAGCUUUCCAGGCAUGUGUGAAUUGUGCACUCCUACACGACCCCACACUCAAAAGGGCCUCACACUUGUUUUAAUGCUCCGCGUUUGCCAUCUUGAAGUUCUUAAUAAUUUUAUCUUUGAACAUCUUUCUGUUUGUCAGCAAGGUCUGAUGGGUGCCACAUGCGUGUGAGCAGAGGAGUUAAAAGCAACAUAUGUGCGGCGUUCUUUGCACAUAGCAUUCCUGACGUCCUCAUCAGGCGUGCUCAAGGCAAAUCCUAGGAAGAAGGCAACGGACAAGGAUCCCCAUCAUGUCCUUACACGUGUUACUUCCCUGUAUCAGCCUAUCAGACAACCACUUCCGCUGAAAAUGAUGACCUAGAUGGAAAGGGAAGGCUCAGGCCACCCACAGCUCCUUCUCUUUUUAUUUCUUUACUCAUCAAUAAGCUGAAGGCAGAGAAUGUUGGUAGGAUAUGUGUAUACCCAUUAAGAAAUAAAAACAGUUGAGUUAGUUUUGUGUAGGAUUUCCAUUGUUCGGUUAAGAACACAAUACCUAUUCAUGUACAAGCAAUGAAAUACGAAUUGUGUCAUAUCAGUGAUUUCCAUAUGAGUUAGUGCUCUUAUAUUUGUGUCUAAAAAUGGGUAUUGCAUAAAA
Long non-coding RNA from Balaenoptera acutorostrata (minke whale), 1681 nucleotides. RefSeq lists it as uncharacterized. The record is from RefSeq and is a predicted model, not a curated record. NCBI's taxonomy places the organism in Eukaryota, Metazoa, Chordata, Mammalia, Artiodactyla, Balaenopteridae. The transcript has 3 exons.